CAGCCGCGUAAUUCCAGCUCCAAUCGCGUAUAUUAAAGUUGUUGCAGUUAAAAAGCUCGUAGUUGAACUUCGGGAUCAAUUAGUUGGUCAUGCCUUGGUAUGUCCUGAUUUUAUUGGUUCUCACCUUCUAAAGAACUAUAAUGUCAUUUAUUUGAUGUUAUAGGGAAUUAGGACUGUUACCUUGAAAAAAUUAGAGUGUUUAAAGCAGGCUCACGCUUGAAUACAUUAGCAUGGAAUAAUGAAAUAGGACAUCGCAUUCUAUUUUGUUGGUUUCUAGGAUCGAUGUAAUGAUUAAUAGGGAUAGUUGGUGGCAUUAGUAUUCAAUUGUCAGAGGUGAAAUUCUUGGAUUUAUUGAAGACUAACUACUGCGAAAGCAUUUGCCAAGGAUGUUUUCAUUAAUCAAGAACGAAAGUUAGGGGAUCGAAGACGAUCAGAUACCGUCGUAGUCUUAACCAUAAACUAUGCCGACUAGGGAUCGGAUGAUGUUGAUUUUUUAAUGACUCAUUCGGCACCUUACG
RNAcentral lists this unclassified non-coding RNA (518 nucleotides) under uncultured Glomeromycotina. Its description in RNAcentral is "SSU rRNA". It matches the Rfam family "Eukaryotic small subunit ribosomal RNA", at positions 571 to 1092 of the family's 1831-position model. Lineage: Eukaryota; Fungi; Glomeromycota. The record is from RNAcentral.